This 253-nucleotide ribosomal RNA is filed under the name uncultured bacterium. RNAcentral's name for it is "partial 16S ribosomal RNA". It matches the Rfam family "Bacterial small subunit ribosomal RNA", at positions 524 to 776 of the family's 1533-position model. The record is from RNAcentral.
UACGUAGGGUGCGAGCGUUAAUCGGAAUUACUGGGCGUAAAGCGUGCGCAGGCGGUUUUGUAAGACAGAUGUGAAAUCCCCGGGCUUAACCUGGGAACUGCGUUUGUGACUGCAAAACUCGAGUGCGGCAGAGGGGGGUGGAAUUCCACGUGUAGCAGUGAAAUGCGUAGAGAUGUGGAGGAACACCGAUGGCGAAGGCAGCCCCCUGGGCCAGCACUGACGCUCAUGCACGAAAGCGUGGGGAGCAAACAGG